Long non-coding RNA from Etheostoma cragini (Arkansas darter), 200 nucleotides. RefSeq lists it as uncharacterized. NCBI's taxonomy places the organism in Eukaryota, Metazoa, Chordata, Actinopteri, Perciformes, Percidae. The record is from RefSeq and is a predicted model, not a curated record. The transcript has 3 exons.
GAAUUCAGAGGUGAUUCACAAAUAAAUUUCACUUGGACUUUAAGGGACAUUCUUCCUUAUGAGACAAUAUUGUCUUAUUAUUCUGACUUUAGUCAUUUAAACAAUAAUGGAAGCUUCUGCCACUUAAAAGAUUACUGAAAGCCGAUAUUUGCACCUAGUGGAUCAGAAAAGGUAAUGUUUUUUUCCAUGGAUAAAAAAAA